GGGAUGAAAUAUUAUUCAAGUUAUUUUGUAUCUGGUUCUCCGAAAGAUUUGAUUGGUUGCAUUAUUGUUAGGUCAAUAAGCAGGGAUUAGCUUGUUUAUUAUUUAUAUGCGUGAAUAAGGUAAUUUUGUUUGUGGAGUUGAUAGUGCUUAUUUUUAAGGAGUUAUUAUAGAACAGGGGGUUUGUAUUAUUAUUUUGUGGCUGUGUGGUUAUUAGGGGUUACUUUAUUAAUUUUUUUUGGUGAAAUAAUGAUUAGAUUAGUAAAAUUUUAUUUAUUUAAAGCGGGGCUUUAGGGUAUAUUGAUAAUAGGUAUUUUAAUUUUUGAUUGGGGCAGAUGAAUUCGGCAAGGUUAAUUUUUGACUGUUUAGCAAAAACAUUGUUUUUUGUUGGGGUAAAAAAUAAGUUCUGUCCACUGCUAUAAGGUGAAGGGCUGCAGUAUUUUGACUGUAUGAAGGUAGCAUAAUCAUUAGCUUUUUAAUUGGGGGCUGGUAUGAAGGUGAAACAGAGAUUGUCUUUAUUUGUACUAUUAAUUGAAUUUUAUUUUUGUGUGAAAAAUCAUAAUUGAAUUAGAGGGACAAGAAGACCCUAAUAAGUUUUAUUUUUUUAUUUUAUGAUGGUAUAGGUAUUAUUUAUUUGAUUGGGGUAAUGGGGUUUAGCUGGGGCGGCUGUUUAUUUAACAUAAGCAAAUUUUUAACUUUAUUUGGC
This 703-nucleotide ribosomal RNA is filed under the name Nannaria tasskelsoae. RNAcentral's name for it is "partial large subunit ribosomal RNA". The record is from RNAcentral. Lineage: Eukaryota; Metazoa; Arthropoda; Diplopoda; Polydesmida; Xystodesmidae.